RNAcentral lists this ribosomal RNA (496 nucleotides) under uncultured bacterium. RNAcentral's name for it is "partial 16S ribosomal RNA". It matches the Rfam family "Bacterial small subunit ribosomal RNA", at positions 29 to 507 of the family's 1533-position model. The record is from RNAcentral.
AUGAACGCUGGCGGCGUGCCUAAUACAUGCAAGUCGAGCGAACAGACGAGGAGCUUGCUCCUCUGACGUUAGCGGCGGACGGGUGAGUAACACGUGGAUAACCUACCUAUAAGACUGGGAUAACUUCGGGAAACCGGAGCUAAUACCGGAUAACAUGUUGAACCGCAUGGUUCAACAGUGAAAGACGGUCUUGCUGUCACUUAUAGAUGGAUCCGCGCCGCAUUAGCUAGUUGGUAAGGUAACGGCUUACCAAGGCAACGAUGCGUAGCCGACCUGAGAGGGUGAUCGGACACACUGGAACUGAGACACGGUCCAGACUCCUAAGGGAGGCAGCAGUAGGGAAUCUUCCGCAAUGGGCGAAAGCCUGACGGAGCAACGCCGCGUGAGUGAAGAAGGUCUUCAGAUCGUAAAACUCUGUUAUUAGGGAAGAACAAAUGUGUAAGUAACUAUGCACGUCUUGACGGUACCUAAUCAGAAAGCCACGGCUAACUACGUG